Molecule: microRNA precursor, 69 nt
Filed under: Zootermopsis nevadensis
Lineage: Eukaryota; Metazoa; Arthropoda; Insecta; Blattodea; Termopsidae
Description: microRNA mir-33
Rfam family: mir-33 microRNA precursor family
Source: Rfam by way of RNAcentral
CUGGGGUGCAUUGUAGUUGCAUUGCAUAUACCUAUGAAAAAGUGCAAUACUUCUGUAGUGCAACACCAG